CUAGAUUAGUUUAACAUUUGAAAUGUCCGUAAAGUAUCAUCAUAUGAUUGGUUUUAGGGCACAUUUCCAACAAAUUUGCCAUCUCAAAUGUUGUAGAUGUAGUUCAUAUGAGCAUGAAUUUUUGAGCUAAAAUUUGGUGCCAUGUUUUUGGGGAAAUUCGGCCAAAUCCAAAGGGUGGAUUUUGGGUUCUUGUUUGUCUUGUUAAAAGUGUUUUAAGGUGACUUUUGAAACCCCUAAGUACCCUAGGAUGUUAACCCCAUUUUCAAUAGUGAAAAUUUGAGUUUUAUUGAGUGAAAAUGUUCAUGGAACUCUUAUGGGUUUUCAUGGAUGUUCUUCAUUGUUCUUGAGGUUCUUACCAAGAACAAAAAGUUUGGUGUUUUGAUUCAAAGUUUUAGUUAAUUUCAUAAAGUCUUUGUUUUGUGUUGGUUGGUGUGACUUUUCUAUCAACAUGACAUUUAAUUAAUUAAAAGGUGAUUUAAAUGUUGAUAAGAGUGUUUGAAUUUAUGUACAUAAUUGAAUUUUUUCUUACACACAUGUUUCCCACCAACCAAUUUCCACUUUGUUGAACAAUUUUCAAAAUUUUAUGGCUUCACACUACUCCAAAACCGGCCACUCCCUCAAUGGGAGUACUUUUGGGGCUUUUAUGCAAUUACAUAAAGUUUUGAUACUUUUGUGUAUUUGUAGUUUGACUCAAAAGUUUACGUAUUUACGUAAAGGCCCAAAAUCAUUAAAGGACAUAUUGUUUUGUUCCUUUAAUGAAGUUUUUGAAUUUGUUGAAAUUUUUGGGUUCUAGUUGUAAUUACAUGAAGUAAUGGACUUUUGUGUUUUUACAAAAUGAGCUUAAAAGUUUAAGUUUUGCAACAUAGCCCAAAAAGUUGAGGUUAUUGCACUUUGGCCCAAAUUAGGUUGAGAACAAAAUGGUUUUGUCUCUUUAAAUGAGAAUUGGAUUUUCAUUUCAUUUAGCUCCAUUUAAAUCAAUUCUAUGGAUACAAAAACCAAAUGACUAUGUUGCAUUCAAAGUUUAAUUAGUUAAAGCGUUAAUUAAUUAAGGGGUGAUUAUGAACCUAAGCCUACGAUAAUUGAGCUAUGUGAAAGGUCAUCUCAAAUUUGUUUGAACCAUGGGAAUGUGUAGAUUAGAUUUUGGUUGUAAUUUGAUAUGAUCAAAUGUUGUAAAAGAGCAUAAGCUCUUCUUUACUUUAAAGUAAUUUGUUUUGAUCAAAUGUUGUAAAAGAGCAUAAGCUCUUCUUUACUUUGAAGUACUCAUUUUCUUGUGUUAUUUGAUAUGCAUGAAAUUGGAGUAGUUGGGUCUAACGCCCAAUAGGAAAAACACGCCUUAAUAUGAUUAAAUGCGUAACUAAAAUCAAUCACCAUCCCUAGACUGAGAUUCAACACUAGGCUCGUGUUGGAUCUAAUCAAAGGUUCAUAGUCAUCCUAAGGCCCUAAGGCAACUAUAUAGUCCAUCAAUGAAUGCAAACCUUAUGUUAGUAGUACCAUAUACUCUUGCUUUAAAAACCGUUUUACAAGCAUAGUGGGAGUAUCAUGUACAACUAAAUCAAUCACAUGGACCAAUAGUUGUAAUAGGACCAAAUUGUUUUAAUAAGAUUAAAAUGCAUGCUUAUAUGUGAUGAGACCUAAAACCCUCAACCAAACCAUUAUUAAGUUGAUAAGCGUGAGAGUGCUUUGAACACUCUUUCGUGGCCUUACACUGUGGUAGGCUCCGAUCGUUUGUGACUCGUACACCGACUUCACCCUAUCAUGGGGGAGUACAAAGUGAAGGAAAAAUUUUGUCCUAGCUAAGAACAAGUAUGAACAUUUGAAUACACAUGCAAGCUAUCAACACUUU
Molecule: long non-coding RNA, 1843 nt
Filed under: Malus domestica (apple)
Lineage: Eukaryota; Viridiplantae; Streptophyta; Magnoliopsida; Rosales; Rosaceae
Description: long non-coding RNA (MDOM_LNC020929)
Source: RNAcentral